GUGUGUGUGUAUGUGCGUACAUGUAUAUGUGUAUGUUUGCAUAUACAGAGA
RNAcentral lists this microRNA precursor (51 nucleotides) under Chinchilla lanigera (long-tailed chinchilla). RNAcentral's name for it is "miRNA (ENSCLAG00000020850.1)". The record is from RNAcentral. Lineage: Eukaryota; Metazoa; Chordata; Mammalia; Rodentia; Chinchillidae.